UGGGGAAUAUUGCACAAUGGGCGAAAGCCUGAUGCAGCAACGCCGCGUGAGUGAUGAAGGCCUUCGGGUUGUAAAGCUCUGUCUUUUGGGACGAUAAUGACGGUACCAAAGGAGGAAGCCACGGCUAACUACGUGCCAGCAGCCGCGGUAAUACGUAGGUGGCAAGCGUUGUCCGGAUUUACUGGGCGUAAAGGAUGCGUAGGCGGAUUUUUAAGUGAGAUGUGAAAUACCCGGGCUUAACUUGGGUGCUGCAUUUCAAACUGGGAAUCUAGAGUGCGGGAGAGGAGAAUGGAAUUCCUAGUGUAGCAGUGAAAUGCGUAGAGAUUAGGAAGAACACCAGUGGCGAAGGCGAUUCUCUGGACCGUAACUGACGCUGAGGCAUGAAAGCGUGGGUAGCAAACAGGAUUAGAUACCCUGGUAGUCCACGCCGUAAACGAUGAGUACUAGGUUUUGUAGGAGGUAUCGACCCCUUCUGUGCCGCAGUUAACACAAUAAGUACUCCGCCUGGGAAGUACGAUCGCAAGAUUAAAACUCAAAUGAAUUGACGGGGUC
RNAcentral lists this ribosomal RNA (552 nucleotides) under uncultured bacterium. Its description in RNAcentral is "partial 16S ribosomal RNA". It matches the Rfam family "Bacterial small subunit ribosomal RNA", at positions 355 to 920 of the family's 1533-position model. The record is from RNAcentral.